UGCCAGCAGCCGCGGUAAUACAGAGGGUGCAAGCGUUAAUCGGAUUUACUGGGCGUAAAGCGUGCGUAGGUGGUCUUUUAAGUCGGAUGUGAAAUCCCUGAGCUUAACUUAGGAAUUGCAUUCGAUACUGGGAGACUAGAGUAUGGGAGAGGAUGGUAGAAUUCCAGGUGUAGCGGUGAAAUGCGUAGAGAUCUGGAGGAAUACCGAUGGCGAAGGCAGCCAUCUGGCCUAAUACUGACACUGAGGUACGAAAGCAUGGGGAGCAAACAGGAUUAGAUA
This 279-nucleotide ribosomal RNA is filed under the name uncultured bacterium. Its description in RNAcentral is "partial 16S ribosomal RNA". It matches the Rfam family "Bacterial small subunit ribosomal RNA", at positions 506 to 784 of the family's 1533-position model. The record is from RNAcentral.